This 1971-nucleotide small RNA is filed under the name Rattus norvegicus (Norway rat). Its description in RNAcentral is "uncharacterized LOC102552971". The record is from RNAcentral. Lineage: Eukaryota; Metazoa; Chordata; Mammalia; Rodentia; Muridae.
UUAAGCAUGGUUUAUUGGUAUUUUAAUAUUGCUUUUUGUGACUACGUAGUCAGUCUUCACAGCAAAUGUCAGUUGCACUGGAAUUCUUGACUUUUGGCUGGGGAGGGGCUCCUUUCUCCUUACCUUUUCCUGUCUUUCUAGCCAGGCUCAGUGUUUGCAACUUUUAUACUCAACACCUGAAUACUGAAUCUUGCUAGAUGUGUGAGUCUUCUGGCAAGCUGAGUGCUCGCCUCUGUACCUCCUGCCACCUAUUGCUCUAGUCCAGUAUAGCCCUAUGCAUUGUGUCGGCCCUGUGUUAUCCGUGGGUGUUCGAGAGUGGAUAAGACGGGGCUAGAUAGGAGGGUAGGGUUGGGCCCCAGUUUCCACCCUGUAAUGGGCCUUGAAGCAGCUGAAAGGGCGAUGGGUUUGGCGGCACCAGGACUGCAUUGUCUGGGACUGAGACGAAGUGAUGCCAUGCCAAGCGAGGCAGAGUCCAGUGCCGGAAUGCCGAGAGCGGCUGCCUUCGAGCCAUCCAUCCUUUAGCGCCCUCUUCUUGUAUCUCUCUUUCGAGCUCCCUUGGAAGCGUGAGUUAGCGUCCCUAGUGCGGGUGUUUCUCCCCAUCAGAGACCAUUCCCCUUUCUCCCAGGCAUCUGCGAGGGUUGGGGUCAAAGCUGGCUGCCUCGGGGUCGUCAUCUGGGACUGGUCAAGGGACCCCGGCCUCUGGAAGAGCAGUUUGAGGCUGAACGACGGUCAGAGGCGGGGUUUCGGGUGGACUGACGUGACGGAACAGAGAUGCUGAACAGUGCGAAGUUUGACGAUCUCCACUCCCAACACUUCACAGGAACGCCAAAUUUCUACCAGAACUUCAGGAUUCUGCAGGCCUUCUCUCCGCUUGUUGGUUCGCACCUGUGUAUCGCCUCCAUCUGCAAAAGCCCUCACCUCUGUUCCUAGGGAAUGGAAUACAGAGUAGCCUUUUCUCAGCUGUAAAGACUUCUGUCAGAGACCCAAGGCUGUGGAGCCAGACAGGACUUAAAGGAAGUGGCAAAUUCCGGCCUUGCCCUGGGAAGAAGGGCGCCAAAGCUCAGUGGGAGUGGCUUGGCCUGGCUUCAGAGCCCAAGGUUUCCUUUGGCCCUAGGAAUCACAUUCAUGGUGGGAAAUAGUAGAACACUGGCGGAAAUGCUUUCUAAAAAUACCCUUCAAGGAAGGUGAGAAAGCCUGUGUAAAGGAACAAUGACUUAUUUCUACUGGUAUGGUAAAUCUGUAAGGCUGAAUGGAUUAUAGAAAACGCAUUCCCAGCACACCUGCUACUUGGGAGAUUUUUUUUAAGGAGCAAAGCAGAAAAAUCAAAGUCUGUAGGGCGACCCCACCCAUGUGUGAAAAAUACGAGGCCAGCUUCAGAAAGAGAGAUAGUGAUAGGCAAGCAACCUGAAGAUGGUUGAGUCUCCCCUUGCAUGGAACAAGGUUGGGAACCAGCCUAGAGAGAAGAUGGGAAGCAGGUUCUUGAAAGCACCACUUCACUCACUCACAGGCAUCUUGGUAAAAGCGUCAGAGUAUAUCUAUUCACAUGAUCGGCACAUUCCUGAAGGGCUGGAGAUGCUAGGGCAAGGGUACCUAGCCUUUGGAGUUUCACUGCCCCCUGGAGCCCUUGUUAGUCUUGUCCAUUCUGAUCACAGUGAGGCCUUUGGUUCCUGGUUAGGAAUAGAUGCCUCUCAAUGCCCUUUGGCACUUGAGAGGUGCCAAGGUUUGUAGCUGGAGAAAUAAGGAAGGAGUGGAAAAAUCCAUGCUCCACAGGGAAGAGUCAGAGCCCCAUGCCGCCUGGGCCAAAGUUCUCUGCCUAGAAAGGCAGGGCCACAUUCACAGCAGGGCCUCACAGUGUCACUUCCACCUUAACUGCACCGAGAACAGAGGACAAAAGGGUGCAGCAAGUCUAGCAAAAUAAGGUCUGUAAUACUAGGCCACCAUGAUAUGCUAAUAAAGUAGUAAUAAACACAA